UACGGAGGGAGCUAGCGUUGUUCGGAAUUACUGGGCGUAAAGCGCACGUAGGCGGCUUUGUAAGUUAGAGGUGAAAGCCCGGAGCUCAACUCCGGAACUGCCUUUAAAACUGCAUCGCUAGAAUUGUGGAGAGGUAAGUGGAAUUCCGAGUGUAGAGGUGAAAUUCGUAGAUAUUCGGAAGAACACCAGUGGCGAAGGCGACUUACUGGACACAUAUUGACGCUGAGGUGCGAAAGCGUGGGGAGCAAACAGG
This 253-nucleotide ribosomal RNA is filed under the name uncultured bacterium. Its description in RNAcentral is "partial 16S ribosomal RNA". It matches the Rfam family "Bacterial small subunit ribosomal RNA", at positions 524 to 776 of the family's 1533-position model. The record is from RNAcentral.